AAGGCUUUAAGUUAAGAAAACUAAUAUCCUUCAAAGCUAUUAAUAAAGAUUAAUAUCUUUAAGCCUUA
RNAcentral lists this transfer RNA (68 nucleotides) under Pycnoscelus nigra. Its description in RNAcentral is "tRNA-Trp". Lineage: Eukaryota; Metazoa; Arthropoda; Insecta; Blattodea; Blaberidae. The record is from RNAcentral.